This 458-nucleotide ribosomal RNA is filed under the name uncultured Latescibacterota bacterium. Its description in RNAcentral is "bacterial SSU rRNA". It matches the Rfam family "Bacterial small subunit ribosomal RNA", at positions 926 to 1382 of the family's 1533-position model. Lineage: Bacteria; Pseudomonadati; Candidatus Latescibacterota. The record is from RNAcentral.
CAAGCAGCGAGGUAUGUGGUUUAAUUCGACGCAACGCGAAGAACCUUACCAGGGCUUGACAUCCCUGACCGCGUAUGAAAGUACGUUUUCACCCUCGGGUGACAGGGAGACAGGUGGUGCAUGGUUGUCGUCAGCUCGUGUCGUGAGAUGUUGGGUUAAGUCCCGCAACGAGCGCAACCCUUAUCCCUAGUUGCCAUCAGGUAAAGCUGGGAACUCUGGGGAGACUGCCGGUGAUAAACCGGAGGAAGGCGGGGAUGACGUCAAGUCCUCAUGGCCCUUACAUCCCGGGCUACACACGUGCUACAAUGGCAGGUACAGAGGGCUGCGAAGCCGCGAGGUGGAGCGAAUCCCAGAAAACCUGUCUCAGUCCGGAUUGAAGUCUGCAACUCGACUUCAUGAAGGCGGAAUCGCUAGUAACCGCGAAUCAGCAGGUCGCGGUGAAUACGUUCCCGGGCCUU